Long non-coding RNA from Aethalodelphis obliquidens (Pacific white-sided dolphin), 1942 nucleotides. RefSeq lists it as uncharacterized. Lineage: Eukaryota; Metazoa; Chordata; Mammalia; Artiodactyla; Delphinidae. The transcript is spliced from 3 exons. The record is from RefSeq and is a predicted model, not a curated record.
AUAAAACAUUUUUCUUGAAGAAUAAUGUCUCACUAUGGAGACUGUCAAUUUAACCUGUUAUUUUACUGGCUGUUUCUGAUUUACCUACCUCCCUACCUCUAGAUGGUUCAUCUAUAUAAUUGGCUACUACUGGUUAGAGAUAAUAAAUUCAUCUUUUGAGAAACUCUACCAAAAGACUUCUUUUAAAGAUGUGCUGUCUCAUGCCCAUCAUGUCUAGUGUUAUGGGUUGAGCUGUGUACCCCUUCCCACAGAUAUGUUGGGGUCCUAAACUCUGGUACCUCAGGAUGUGACCUUAUUUGGAGAUAGUCUUUACACAGACAAUAAAGUUAAAAUAAGGUAAAAUUAGUGUGAAACCUAAUCCAAUAUUGCUGAUGUCCUAAACAGGGGAUAUUUGGACCCACACAUGCAUGCAGGGAGAAUGCUAUGUGAACAGGUGGCCAUCUACAAGUCAAGCAGAGAGGCCUGGAACAGAUCCUUCCCUAACAACUCUCAGAAGGAACCAGUCCUGUUGACACUUUCAUUUAGGACUCCUAGCCUCCUCCCCGCCGCCCUGCAGGGUUGUGGUACUUUGUUCUAGCAGCCCUAGCAAAAUAAUACAUCUAGUGAUUACAAGUGAGGUCUGUGUUACACCCCCUCUAAAAUGUUUUUCUGGUCCCUAACUUCGAUGUUUUGCAUGGUGGUCUCUAAUAUAAUACUGAUUGCUGGUGUUUAUUGGGUGCUGUGGCAGCACUGCUCUAAGAGUUUCACAUGUAGUAAUUUGUUUAAUCCUCACAAAACCUGUGAGGUUGAUGCUGUUGUUAUUCCCAUCUUAUGGGUGAGAACAUCAAGGGAUAGAGAAGGUCAGUAAUUACUCCAGGUGACACAAGUUAGCAAAUAGCAGAUCCUGGAUUUGGGUUGGUACUCUGGGUUUUGAGUGCGUAUAUAUAAUUCCUACACUAUGCUGCUUAUGAGUGUAGCCAAGUGGGGGCUUUAUAAAAUAGACAGGAAGGAUUCAGCAGAAAGAGGGGCAGGAAGAGAGUGAAGAUUACUCAUAGGUUUUGUGGAUUGGAGGGUUGAACCAGGAAGAAGGUGUCUGCUUGCUGCUCUCUGGCGGCCCCUGCCGACAGGGGGGAGAGAGACAAGGUGGUCUGGACCGGAAAUGCAAAGUUGCUGGGAAGGCAUUCCUGGUGCUGUUGGAGGUGGGGUGGGAUUGACAGGAAUCCCCACCCACCCUACGCGGGGGAGCGCCGUUAUUGGAGGCGCUCUCGGAGGGAGGCUGGCUGGUAAACCCGGAAAGGGGUGCUUGUAGUUCCAGCCGGAGGGCCUCUGAGGGCCUUCCCAGGAUCCUCCCUACGCAGUCCUCUCACGUGUGACCCCCUUGGCCACACCCUGCUGCUCUCAGAGGCGUGGGCUUCUGCUACUGGUUGAAAAGAAGUCAGGCCUCUCGGCGUGGCGUGGAUUUCCUUCCCGGGAUAGGCCUUAGCCCCUCCCCUUUCUCCCAGGCCCAAAAUGGAUCUCUGGAUUUGGGAGCUGCAGCUACAGUUCCUUCAGCUUCAGAAUUCUGAGCAGCACGGACUGCGCCCCAGCCACGGAUAGGACUCCUUAGAACAUCAGCCUGUCAGGGCUGGGAGUCAUCCUCAGGAAUCCCUGCCUCUCUCGUUUUAAGGUUCAGCCCAUGACAGGAUGCAUGAUUCAGCUGAGACAGAUGAGACUUCAAUGGGGCCAGUUACUGGACCUGGCCUUCCAAUGACCACAACUGUGAUGAAACACGGAAAUAGUAUGGAACGCCUUCUACCAGGUCGUUGACCUUGAGGAUCUGACGAGUGCAUUUUUCACUGACUACCUGCCAACUACGGCGACUGGCUUCUCGUUUCUCCACCACGUAGUGAUGGAUUCGGGCACCCCCAUCAAGGAGAGGGGCAUCCCACAUCAGUGUAACAGAUCCCCGGGUCACAUCCUUGAA